UUUCUUUUUUUUUUUUUUUUUUUUUGACAUGCAGAGUGGACAGUGAGAGAGAGAGACAGAGAGGAAGAUCUUCCUUUGCCAUUGGUUCACCCUCCGAUGGCCGCCACGGCUGGUGCUCUGCGGCCGGCACACCGCGCUGAUCCGAAGCCAGGAGCCAGGUGUUACUCCUGGUCUCCCAUGGGGUGCAGGGCCCAAGCACUUGGGCCAUCCUCCACUGCCUUCCUGGGCCACAGCAGAGAGCUGACCUGGAAGAGGGGCAACCGGGACAGAAUCCAGCGCCCCGACUGGGACUAGAACCUGGUGUGCCGGCGCUGCAAGGCGGAGGAUUAGCCUAGUGAGCCAUGGCGCCGGCCGUGUAAGAUAUUUCUAAUUGUUAACAUCUAACUUUUCCUGUGCAGUCACUUCUAUUGCAGCACAAAGUCCCUCUCCAGGCUAAAGUAGAACAAGGUCGCUGUUCAUUCAUUUUGAACCCCUUUGGGCCAGGAAUUCGCCCAGGAUUCUGAACGUUGGCCAUUGGAAGCAGCUCUCAGUAAACCUUAUAGGAGGGGAGCCUCAUGGUCUCACGGGUCCUCUUCUCUCACUUCUCAGGCCCACCUUCCUUUACAGCUGAAAUGUGGUUCCCUGCCAUCCAGAAAUAAAAAGUGUCUUGUGGUCAGCUCUCUGUGUGCUUACAUGCACUGCAUUUUGUCUUUUACUUCAUGCACAGAUGAAACAGAAGGAGCACAGUGAUACACAGAGCGCCAGUCUGGCUCACUUAGAUUCUGUCUGUGGAGUUUCCUUUUCCAUGGAGCUAAUAUUUACUGAGCGCUGAUAUCCCAGGCACCAUAUGGUGUCCUAGGCACCAUUCUAAGCCCUCUCUAUGAAUGGUCUCCUUUAAGACUUGAGGUCACCUUAUUUUGCACCUGUUUUACAGAGGUGUACACUGUUGCUCAGGGAGUUCACAGCUCAACCUAUUCAUACUACCAUCAAGAAGCAGAGCCUCGCUUCGAAGCCAGGCUGUGGGUGCAAACCCCCAGAAGCUUUCAAACCACCAGGCACGCUGCCUCCUGACUCUUUGUUUCUUUGUGCAUUUCUCUAGUUUGGAGGUUCUUCUCCACUUGCCUAUUUAUUUUCCAUAAUUCUUGCUCUCAGGACAGAUAAUUUCCAAGGUCCUUUCGAGUAUUGAAAUUCCAUGACUGAUUAAAGUUGUAAUUUAUGUAGUUUGAUUAAUUUGCUCUAAUGCCCAAGUUCAUUCAUAAUGUUAAUUUCCUUACUGGAGGCUCCAACAGCUUUUUAAUUUACUUACAGAUCUCUGUCUGAUGUUAAAGGAAUCCUGCUGCUUUUUCUGGAAUAACAUUCAAAACCCCAAUUUUAAAAAAUAGAUUGAGUGACCCCUGCUCCUAGCCCCCACUCCCUGGAAGAACAAUAGCAGCAAGCAAACAGGACUUGCCUUCCAGAGACUACACAGUGCCUGCGGUCCGUUUCUCCUAUGCACCUGCUCCUGUGACUGCAGCAUGAGCUAGAACGCUGGGGUUGGAGAGUCGCAACAGGUCUGUGUCAGAAGUGGAGAGACAGCAAGGGGUGUCUUCCAGGGAACUGCUUGGGGACACCUGGCAGUGAGAGGUCCUCCUGUGCACAUGGAAAUCAAGUUCCCAGUUUAUUUAUUUAAAAGAAAGUGAAGAAGACCGAUGUCUCCCAUCUGCCAAUUCACUCCCCAAAGGCCUGCAACAGCCAGAGCUGGGUCUGGUCAAAGGCAGGAGCCAGGACCCUCCAUCUUGGGUCAUCAUCUGCCGCCUCAGGGUGCACAUUAACAGGAAGACAGAUCAGAAGCAGGAAUGGAAAAUCAAUCUGAGUGUCAUUAAGAGAGUAUUCCCUGAAGAAUAUUGCUGGCGACAGCAGAUUUGUCACCCAACUCGACUUUCUUUGACUGAGCGCUUGGAAUUUGUUCCACAGGGGAGGAGAUCCAGUGUGAGCUCACUGUCUGAACCCAGGCCUUUGACCAGCUUGCCAACUUUUCAUUCCAUUGUCUCUCUGUCUUUGGCUGAUCUCAUCACUACACUGAUUAAUUAGUUUCAAACCCCUUCAUAUUGACCUAAUGAAACUGGCUUGUUUAAUUUGUGCCGGGAAAUUUCUGAGAACGUUCCAUUUAGACUCUGAUAAGGGAUUUUUUUAAUGUCCUGUCAGAGACACCCCUCGGGAGAAGGGAGAGGAGGCCGUCCUUCCUGCAGGCUCUUGAAUAACACAGUGCCCACGCCCAUGACUGCAGGAUUCUUCCGGCUGCCAGGCCUCAGUGUUGUGUUUUUUUGUUUGUUUGUUUGUUUGUUUUUGACAGGCAGAGUGGAUAGUGAGAGAGAGAGAAAGGUCUUCGUUUUUGCCGUUGGAUCACCCUCCAAUGGCCGCCACAGCCGGCGCGCUGCGGCCGACGCACCGCACUGAUCUGAUGGCAGGAGCCAGGUACUUAUCCUGGUCUCCCAUGGGGUGCAGGGCCCAAGCACUUGGGCCAUCCUCCACUGCCUUCCCGGGCAACAGCAGAGAGCUGGCCUGGAAGUGGGGCAAGCGGGAAAGAAUCUGGCGCCCCGACCGGGACUAGAACUCGGUGUGCUGGCACCACUAGGUGGAGGAUUAGCCUAGUGAGCCGCAGCGCCAGCCAGUGCUUUUUACAACAAGCAGAUCUGCCUGUUAAAUGGACAUUUCUUCACCUUCCCUCACAGAAGCACAUGAGACCACUGUCUUGCACCUCUAGGGGCUGUCUGCACUGGUUCUGAGCCUCAAACCCUGGCCUGGUGGGGUAGAGCCUGGCCACAGCCAUAGCUACUUUACCAGGUCAGGUCCUCGCUGCUGGAUCAGAAACACCUGCCUGUUUCCAGGACCUGCCUGUUUUGAGACCCCAGGAGAGGGUCUCAAAGUUGAAUGUUUCUUUCCUGUCACAAAGAGAAACAGAAGAGGGUAAUGGUCUAAGUGGCCUUAGAUGGGAGAAGGGGAUUCAGCGAGGAGCUGCCUUCUGGGGCGGGCUGCUCACUGACUGGAAUGAACAUUCUAAUAGCUACUUUCCCAAUCAGCCACCCCCUUGAUGAGCUUGUUUAUGUAACAGGAUCAGACCACUGUCUCCAGCUAAUCUCUACGCGCAUAUCUCCCUCAAGAUAGCUUUCAUACAAGUGUGUAAACAUGCUCUUAGAAUCUUCUUAAAAUUCCCUCAAAGCCCCAGCAACCACCUUCUCCCAGCUGGAGCUGUCCAGGCAGUGGCCCUAGCACCCCCGCCCUGGUAUGCAGCUUCUGGCUCGUCUCAGUCGGGCAAGGCAAGAACCGCAGCCAUAAAGGAGCUCCCUGUGCACUGGGCACAGCCCGGGGAGCUGCAGCACUUGGCUGCUUCAUUUGUCUUCAUUAACGUGGCUUAUCCCGAGGCCUUUGUCACAUAUUAUGAUUAUGUGAGCUCUGAUCCCCCUGGAUGUGCAAACACGGAGCACUAGAAAGGCAUGAGCAGGCAGCACCUGGAGAGAAGCAUGUCUGUGGCUGGGGGCAUGGCUCACACCAUCAGUCCCUGAGGGAUGGGCCGCACUGGGCUACCUGCACCAUUAGCCUCAGGAGCUGAGCCUUGGGGUGAUACGGGGUAGGAAGGUUGCUCCCUUGAUUCCUGGCCCCAGAGCUCGCCUCUCUGUCCCCAGCCACCUCACAGACCAUGUCUUCCUCUAUCCUGCCUCCCCUCUUAGGGGAGUGCCUCACUCACUAGGCCCAUCACCUUCAUGUCAUUUCUCUUGAUCUCUGCCUCCAUCCUCAUCCCGGGGCUGGUCUUCAUCUAAGGCCACCUUCAUCUCGUAGCUGGAUCCCUGCCAUAGCCUCUUGCUUACACUCCCUACCCCCUGUCCGGUUGCCCUCCAUUCUACAUCUGCUGAUGUCGUCCUCUCUCUAAAAUGCCCAUCAAGUUCCUUUUCCAGGUAAAUGGUGAAACUGCUUAGGAUGAUCUGCAAGGCUCUUCAGCACUGGUCUGCACAGCCCUCCCCAGCUGCAGGCCCCUCAUUAGCCUUAUGUGUCCACUGCCACCCCCACAUUUCUCCCUCUUUGGAAGUUACACUCCAUCACAGUGUUCCAAAACACUUCCACCUUGGGCCUAAUGGCAUAGGACUGUUAGAUUAAGCAGUUGCUAAGAUUUAAAUUCUGGGGCCUGUGCUGUGGCACAGCAGACUAAGCCUCCGCCUGCAGUGGCACCAGCAUCCCAUGUGGAGGCCAGUUCAUGUCCCAGAUGCUCCUCUUCUGAUCCAGCUCUCUGCCAAUGGCCUGGGAAAGCAGUGGAGGAUGGCCCAACUGCUUGGGCCCCUGCACCCGCAUGGGAGACCAGGAGGAAGCUCCUGGCUCCUGGCUUUGGAGUGGCUCAGCUCUGGCCAUUGCAGCCAUCUGGGGAGUGAACCAGUGGAUAGAAGACCUCUCUCUCUGUCUCUCCCUUUCUCUGUCUGUAACUCUACCUCCCAAAUAAAUAAAUAAAAUCUUUUUAAAAAAUAAA
Non-coding RNA from Oryctolagus cuniculus (rabbit), 4474 nucleotides. The record is from RefSeq and is a predicted model, not a curated record. NCBI's taxonomy places the organism in Eukaryota, Metazoa, Chordata, Mammalia, Lagomorpha, Leporidae.